UACGUAGGUGGCAAGCGUUGUCCGGAUUUACUGGGCGUAAAGAGCGCGCAGGCGGUCUUUCAAGUCGAGUGUGAAAGCCCCCGGCUCAACUGGGGAGGGUCACUCGAUACUGAUCGACUCGAAGGCAGGAGAGGGAAGUGGAAUUCCCGGUGUAGUGGUGAAAUGCGUAGAUAUCGGGAGGAACACCAGUGGCGAAGGCGACUUCCUGGCCUGUUCUUGACGCUGAGGCGCGAAAGCUAGGGGAGCAAACGGG
RNAcentral lists this ribosomal RNA (253 nucleotides) under uncultured bacterium. RNAcentral describes it as "partial 16S ribosomal RNA". It matches the Rfam family "Bacterial small subunit ribosomal RNA", at positions 524 to 776 of the family's 1533-position model. The record is from RNAcentral.